AGAGUAAAUUAUCCAAUCGCAUCGCAAGAUGAGGAAAGUCUGCGCUCCACAGAGCAGGAUGCCAGCUAACGGCUGGUGGGGGCGACCCUAAGGCAAGUGCAACAGAGAGAUACCGCCCGCAAGGGUAAGGGUGGAAAGGCGAGGUAAGAGCUCACCAGAUCUUAGGUAACUAAGAUGCUAUGUAAACCCCAUUCGGAGCAAAACCAAAAUAGGACAACACAGAUGUGGCUCGCAUCUGCCGGUAGGUAGGUUGCUUGAACUAUUUGGCGACAAAUAGUCUAGAUAGAUGAUUGGACACGACAGAACGCGGCUUAUCGAUUUACUCUUACA
RNAcentral lists this RNase P RNA (330 nucleotides) under Peptoniphilus equinus. RNAcentral's name for it is "Peptoniphilus sp. CBA3646 RNase P RNA component class A". It matches the Rfam family "Bacterial RNase P class A". From Rfam's summary of the family: Ribonuclease P (RNase P) is a ubiquitous endoribonuclease, found in archaea, bacteria and eukarya as well as chloroplasts and mitochondria. Its best characterised activity is the generation of mature 5'-ends of tRNAs by cleaving the 5'-leader elements of precursor-tRNAs. The record is from RNAcentral. Lineage: Bacteria; Bacillati; Bacillota; Tissierellia; Tissierellales; Peptoniphilaceae.